Long non-coding RNA from Halichondria panicea, 2274 nucleotides. RefSeq lists it as uncharacterized. The record is from RefSeq and is a predicted model, not a curated record. The transcript has 2 exons. NCBI's taxonomy places the organism in Eukaryota, Metazoa, Porifera, Demospongiae, Suberitida, Halichondriidae.
GGCCUCAAACAUACUUAGCACAUGGUGCUUGCAGCUGCACCAGACUGCAGCUGCUCAUGCAGCUUUAUACCAUCACUGACUGCAUGCCUGUACCCCUGGCCCUGGGCUACCACUAGUGUUCCAUGUACACCAGCUAGGAUCUAGGAGUCAAGAGUCACCUGCAUCUGCAGCUUGAAAGAAAAGACAAUUGCAAAUUUUCUUAAAGAGUAGAUAGUACCACCAUCUCAAAGAAAAAAGUUAAGUUCCAUUGCAUGCUGUUGGCGCAUGGCAUGUACAUGAUCCCAAAACUCUCUGAAUUCACAGUUUACAAAUCACUGCUAUACCGUAUCGGCGUAUAACUCCACCAUGUACCAGCUUCAAAGAAAAAGGAUUUAAGUUAUGUUGCUCAUUGCUAAAUAAAUGUGUUUACGUGUUUCUUCCAGCUGCAGAUUUUACCGUACCUCGGCCCCACAAUGUGUACCAGCUAGGAGUCUACUUAACCACCUUCAUCGACUCAAAGAAACGACUUGCAAGUUAUGUCAGAUUCCAUAAAACUAUAUAGCUAGCUAGAGGGCAACUGUCCCUGGUUUUAACCUUCAUCUGUAGCAUACUGAUUUACGAGUUUGUGUCUUCAUGCACUGGUUUCGACUGGUCAACUUCGUCCAUGGGGUGAUAGCUAUUAUACUGAUUUACGAGUUUGUGUGUAUGUGUCCUCAUGUGUCAGUUACACUGGUUUCGACUGGUCAACUUCGUCCAUGGGGUGAUAGUUAGCAUACUGAUUUACGAGUUUGUGUGUAUGUGUCCUCACGUGUCAGUUACACUGGUUUCGACUGGUCAACUUCGUCCAUGGGGUGAUAGCUAGCACUGUAAUUUACCAGUUUGUGUGUAUGUGUCCUCAUGCGUCAGUUACACUGGUUUCAACUGGUCAACUUCGUCCAUGGGGUGAUAGCUAGCAUACUGAUUUACGAUUUUGUGUGUAUGUGUCCUCACGUGUCAGUUACACUGGUUUCGACUGGUCAACUUCGUCCAUGGGGUGAUAGCUAGCAUACUGAUUUACGAGUUUGUGUGCAUGUGUCCUCAUGUGUCAGUUACACUGGUUUCGACUGGUCAACUUCGUCCAUGGGGUGAUAGCUAGCAUUGUAAUUUACCAGUUUGUGUGUAUGUGUCCUCAUGUGUCAGUUACACUGGUUUCGACUGGUCAACUUCGUCCAUGGGGUGAUAGCUAGCAUUGUGUAAUUUACCAGUUUGUGUGUAUGUGUCCUCACGUGUCAGUUACACUGGUUUCGACUGGUCAACUUCGUCCAUGGGGUGAUAGCUAGCAUUGUAAUUUACCAGUUUGUGUGUAUGUGUCCUCAUGCGUCAGUUACACUGGUUUUGACUGGUCAACUUCGUCCAUGGGGUGAUAGCUAGCAUUGUAAUUUACCAGUUUGUGUGUAUGUGUCCUCAUGCGUCAGUUACACUGGUUUCGACUGGUCAACUUCGUCCAUGGGGUGAUAGCUAGCAUUGUAAUUUACCAGUUUGUGUGUAUGUGUCCUCACAUGUCAGUUACACUGGUUUCGACUGGUCAACUUCGUCCAUGGGGUGAUAGCUAGCAUUGUAAUUUACCAGUUUGUGUGUAUGUGUCCUCACAUGUCAGUUACACUGGUUUCGACUGGUCAACUUCGUCCAUGGGGUGAUAGCUAGCAUACUGAUUUACGAGUUUGUGUGUAUGUGUCCUCACGUGUCAGUUACACUGGUUUCGACUGGUCAACUUCGUCCAUGGGGUGAUAGCUAGCAUACUGAUUUACGAGUUUGUGUGUAUGUGUCCUCAUGUGUCAGUUACACUGGUUUCGACUGGUCAACUUCGUCCAUGGGGUGAUAGCUAGCAUACUGAUUUACGAUUUUGUGUGUAUGUGUCCUCAUGUGUCAGUUACACUGGUUUCGACUGGUCAACUUCGUCCAUGGGGUGAUAGCUAUAGCAUACUGAUUUACGAGUUUGUGUGUAUAUGUGUCCUCACGUGUCAGUUACACUGGUCAACUUCGUCCAUGGGGGUGAUAGCUUAUACUAUUUACAUUUUACACUACAUAUGUGUUGGUAACUAUAGUGACUUCAAUCUUUUGUUCUGUAGGGGCUUAUUGUGACGAAAAUGAUCUGAGGGAUGUAGCGUUCAUGAAACCAAACGAAACGCCUGCAGUUCACUGUACUGGAAUUUCAAGAAACGCUAAGUGAUGAACACUAAAAACAAUUUACUGACAGAAGAAAUGUAUUGUGCUGCAUGUCAUGUGAUCCAGUGAUCUUAUUCUAUCAUAAACUCA